CCAAGUGGGUGCCAGCGGCGGCGUGAAGACGUAGGGGGGGAGCGGGGGCCGGAUUGAUUGGGCGUAAAGCGCGGGGAGGCGGUUUGGUAGGCCGGGUGUGAAACCCUCGAGCUGAACUCGGGGCGGCCACUCGGAACUGUCAUGACUCGAGUCAGGUAGGGGAACACGGAAUUCCAGGUGUAGCGGUGAAAUGCUUAGAUAUCUGGAGGAACACCAGUGGCGAAGGCGGUGUUCUGGGCCUGUACUGACGCUGAUGCGCGAAAGCGUGGGGAGCGAACAGGAUUAGAUACCCUGGUAGUC
RNAcentral lists this ribosomal RNA (300 nucleotides) under uncultured Rhodothermus sp. Its description in RNAcentral is "bacterial SSU rRNA". It matches the Rfam family "Bacterial small subunit ribosomal RNA", at positions 497 to 795 of the family's 1533-position model. The record is from RNAcentral. Lineage: Bacteria; Pseudomonadati; Rhodothermota; Rhodothermia; Rhodothermales; Rhodothermaceae.